CCUACGGGAUGCUGCAGUAGGGAAUCUUCCACAAUGGGCGAAAGCCUGAUGGAGCAACGCCGCGUGGGUGAAGAAGGUCUUCGGAUCGUAAAACCCUGUUGUUAGAGAAGAAAGUGCGUGAGAGUAACUGUUCACGUUUCGACGGUAUCUAACCAGAAAGCCACGGCUAACUACGUGCCAGCAGCCGCGGUAAUACGUAGGUGGCAAGCGUUAUCCGGAUUUAUUGGGCGUAAAGGGAACGCAGGCGGUCUUUUAAGUCUGAUGUGAAAGCCUUCGGCUUAACCGGAGUAGUGCAUUGGAAACUGGGAGACGUGAGUGCAGAAGAGGAGAGUGGAACUCCAUGUGUAGCGGUGAAAUGCGUAGAUAUAUGGAAGAACACCAGUGGCGAAAGCGGCUCUCUGGUCUGUAACUGACGCUGAGGUUCGAAAGCGUGGGUAGCAAACAGGAUUAGAUACCCCUGUAGUC
This 465-nucleotide ribosomal RNA is filed under the name uncultured bacterium. RNAcentral describes it as "partial 16S ribosomal RNA". It matches the Rfam family "Bacterial small subunit ribosomal RNA", at positions 338 to 795 of the family's 1533-position model. The record is from RNAcentral.